This is a non-coding RNA of Aspergillus sclerotiicarbonarius CBS 121057, 138 nucleotides long. The record is from the annotation of a GenBank genome assembly. NCBI's taxonomy places the organism in Eukaryota, Fungi, Ascomycota, Eurotiomycetes, Eurotiales, Aspergillaceae.
GCCCGGUUAGCUCAAUUGGUCAGAGCGUCAGACUUGUGAGUUGUCCUUCAAAAAUCUCAUUAAUAUGCAAAUGCUAAUAAUCACCCAGUUAUCCAAGAGUCCAUCUGAAUGUUGCGAGUUCGAGUCUCGCAUCGGGCG